GACGAACGCUGGCGGCGUGCUUAACACAUGCAAGUCGAACGGAAAGGCCCUGCUUUUGUGCGCUGCUCGAGUUGCGAACGGGUGAGUAACACGUGAGUAACCUGCCCCUGCCUUUGGGAUAACUUCAUGCAACUGGGUCUAAUACCGGAUAGGAGCUCUUGCUGCAUGGUGGGGGCUGGAUAGUUUCGGCGGUUGGGGAUGGACUCGCGGCCUAUCAGCUUGUUGGUGGGGUAGUGGCUUACCAAGGCCUUGACGGGUAGCCGGCCUGAGAGGGUGACCGGCCACAUUGGGACUGAGAUACGGCCCAGACUCCUACGGGAGGCAGCAGUGGAGAAUGUUGCACAAUGGGCGGAAGCCUGAUGCAGCAACGCCGCGUGCGGGAAGACGGCCUGCGGGUAGUAAACCGAUUUCGCCUGUGACGAAGCGUGAGUGACGGUAAUGGGUAAAGAAGCACCGGCUAACUACGUG
This 468-nucleotide ribosomal RNA is filed under the name uncultured bacterium. RNAcentral's name for it is "partial 16S ribosomal RNA". It matches the Rfam family "Bacterial small subunit ribosomal RNA", at positions 28 to 507 of the family's 1533-position model. The record is from RNAcentral.